AGGACGAACGCUGGCGGCGUGCUUAACACAUGCAAGUCGAGCGCCCGUAGCAAUACGGGAGCGGCAGACGGGAUAGUAACACGUGGGAACGCGCCCUUCGGUUCGGAAUAACUCAGGGAAACUUGAGCUAAUACCGGAUACGCCCUUACGGGGAAAGAUUUAUUGCCGAAGGAACGGCCCGCGUCCGAUUAGCUAGUUGGUGAGGUAAUGGCUCACCAAGGCGACGAUCGGUAGCUGGUCUGAGAGGAUGACCAGCAUCACUGGGACUGAGACACGGCCCAGACUCCUACGGGAGGCAGCAGUGGGGAAUAUUGGACAAUGGGCGCAAGCCUGAUCCAGCCAUGCCGCGUGGAUGAUGAAGGCCUUAGGGUUGUAAAGUCCUUUUAACGGGGAGAUAAUGACGGUACCCGUAGAAUAAGCCCCGGCUAACUUCGUGCCAGCAGCCGC
RNAcentral lists this ribosomal RNA (447 nucleotides) under uncultured bacterium. RNAcentral's name for it is "SSU rRNA". It matches the Rfam family "Bacterial small subunit ribosomal RNA", at positions 26 to 518 of the family's 1533-position model. The record is from RNAcentral.